UUGUGUACAAACAGGUUCAAGCAUAAUCAUGGUGAUAUGAUUAUAUGGAGUAGAAGGGAGGAAGUUGUGUCUCAUCAGCAUUGUGUUCUGCAUCUAUAUAAAGCACAUCCAAGAAUCACUGUCCAAGGUCUCUCUUUCGAUUGAUAGCAUCGGUAGCAGGAUAUAACAUCAGGUUACAAGCCUUUGUGGUACAGGAAGGACCGAAGGAGGAAGUUGGUGAGAUACAGAGGGAAGUUGAAUUGGGACGAGGGAUAGAGAUACAACCAGCAAAUGCGCCGAGGAACAGUAAGGUAUGUGAUAUUUAGAGUUCUGCUCAUCCAUGUCCACUUUAGUCCAUCAAACCAUCUCACACCCGCUUCUCUUUGUCAGCUAACUCAGUAAGUAUUCUUCAGGUGCUAUUUUCUUCACCAGUUAACUCCUUCAAGUAUGCGUUCUUGUCAUCAGUACACACAGCCUCCUAUUGCAGGUCUCUAACACUUUCGCCCAAUGGUCCGAUGCAGACUUAUACUGACAUUAUCAAGAGAAAGAAUACGUUGAUGUAGCAUAUUUGCACUGUUCAUGUACAACUGAAAGUGACUAAACUCUAUUGUUUUUUGCCCUUGCCAACUUAAUACAGUAUAGUUCCGAUUCAUCUAAAUUGAGUCAGAGAUUAAACUGACGAUUUCUUCGCAAUUGCUGCAUCAAAUCAUCUAAAAGAAACUAAAAACUUUCUUAUCCUUCUUAUCCGACUAAUAAUAUCCAUUUUCAUUUUUUUAUUAUAUACUCAUAUUUGUUGUUGGUUGUAGUCUUCUUUUCUUAACUUUUUUACACUAGAGUACCAUGCCUUUUUUUGUCCAUUGGAAAGGCUUUGUACUACUUAAUGUUAUAGGCCAGGUGUUUGUGUUUUACCCCAACUGAUAUAUGUCAUAUAUAUAUAUACCAGGAAAUAAGUUUUUUUCCUUUGUAUUAUUCUUGUGUUAUGAAGGUAUAAGAAUGGAUGAAUGGCCACAAAGAUCAAAUAGUGAUAAUUAAUUGCCAAAAAAAGCUUCAGGACAACACUAGAUAUUGUCAUGUUUCAAAACCAUAAUAUGAUUUAUUCUUGCAUUCUCAAGGUUCAGACAAGAGGCGGGCUAAUUCAAAUAAAGAAAUAGAUCCCAUGAGAAAAAACAUCUAAAACAUUGUGUACAAAGAUGUGAAUAUGUACCAAGAUGUGGGAUGAAUACGUGUUUUUUUCUUACUUCAUACCAAUUAAGCCAUUUUAUUAUUUCAUCUUUUUAGUGGAUAUAUUUCUUAUCUCCUUUUAAUAGUGACCUUUUUCUUUUUCCUAAUUUUUUUUGGAUCUUAUGCAGCAAGGUUCAACAGUUUUGUGAGGCAUAUCUUACAUAUCUGCAUAUCAGUUGGUUUCAGAUGCUCACGCUUUCACUAAAUGUACCAUCCUUUCACUGAAGUAGUUCAAGCCUAUCAAAUUUCCUUCAUUCACAACCUACAGUUAGUUGUACCUAUUGUCUGCGGUGAUCUAACUAGCUGUCAAUGUCCUUUUCAAUUUAUAAUGGCACAUUAAAUCACAUGAAUUGAAAAUGCAUGCUUACUAGCAGUCAAUGGAAGAUCUAUGAAAAGCUUGCUUUCACGGGGGCGUUUGCGCAUUGGACGAAAAAGAAGCACAUCCACAUUGUUCAUACAUGGCAGAGGAGUUGGGGGUUUAUACAAGGAGAAAGUCACAAUUCUGCUGCAAACAGAUGUAUAUAUAGCGGCAGGACUGGAGAGAUGGGAAUGCAUCACCUCGGUAGUGCUAUAGGCCCAUAGGGUUGGCGGCGAUAGUUGGUGUCGGUAUUAUUGACACCCUUGCCAUUGCGGUGCUGGGAGUACUGCCAUGAAAGGUGCUGCUUCAAUCGUCGCGGACGAGGGCUCAUGAUUAUGAGCAUAGUAUCACAUGAUUGGGAUGGUAGAGACGUGCGUUGCACGUGCACGCUUACUAGUAAAGAGAAAUAAUAAC
This 1972-nucleotide long non-coding RNA is filed under the name Triticum aestivum (bread wheat). Its description in RNAcentral is "long non-coding RNA (TAES_LNC001647)". The record is from RNAcentral. Lineage: Eukaryota; Viridiplantae; Streptophyta; Magnoliopsida; Poales; Poaceae.